This 94-nucleotide transfer RNA is filed under the name Serratia marcescens. RNAcentral describes it as "tRNA-Gln(ctg)". The record is from RNAcentral. Lineage: Bacteria; Pseudomonadati; Pseudomonadota; Gammaproteobacteria; Enterobacterales; Yersiniaceae.
CGGCGCGCUGGCGCGGUCGAAUGCCCCGGCCGCCUCUGGCGCGGCGGCGUUUGACGCCAACGCCUUCGUUCAGAUCGGCGCCGACGGCGUCGUC